This 89-nucleotide transfer RNA is filed under the name Rickettsiales endosymbiont of Stachyamoeba lipophora. RNAcentral describes it as "tRNA-Leu". It matches the Rfam family "tRNA". Rfam says of the family: Transfer RNA (tRNA) molecules are approximately 80 nucleotides in length. Their secondary structure includes four short double-helical elements and three loops (D, anti-codon, and T loops). Further hydrogen bonds mediate the characteristic L-shaped molecular structure. tRNAs have two regions of fundamental functional importance: the anti-codon, which is responsible for specific mRNA codon recognition, and the 3' end, to which the tRNAs corresponding amino acid is attached (by aminoacyl-tRNA synthetases). tRNAs cope with the degeneracy of the genetic code in two manners: having more than one tRNA (with a specific anti-codon) for a particular amino acid; and 'wobble' base-pairing, i.e. permitting non-standard base-pairing at the 3rd anti-codon position. The record is from RNAcentral. Lineage: Bacteria; Pseudomonadati; Pseudomonadota; Alphaproteobacteria; Rickettsiales.
GCCCGGAUGGCGGAAUUGGUAGACGCGCUAGUUUCAGGUACUAGUGACCGUAACAGGUCUUGGAAGUUCGAGUCUUCUUCCGGGCACCA